GCCUUCCUGUGGCAGAGGAUCCAAAGAAGGGAAGAAGCCACUCUUGGCUGCUUCACAGACACCAGCUCGCUGGAUCAGCAGUGGGACCUUCUCCAGCCUCCUUUGCCGUGUUCGAUGCUCCGAGAUGCACCAAACAGGAGUUUGAUUAGGAAAGAACCACAGAGUCGUGGGGAAAGGAGGGGCCUGGAGCAGAAGCCAUUCAGCGCAGUGGCUUGCUGGGCUUGAAGAGGGAGGGAGAAAGCCUUUCCUCCCUACGGACCAUCGGAACUGAAAGGGACCUUACAGAUGACAGUCCAACCCUCAUAGAAAACAGAUGGAGAGAUUUCUGCUGCGGGAGGUGGCACCAUUUGUCCUCGUUCAUGCAGUGAGUGAAGCUGGGGCUGAGAAAACAGCUCACUCUUCUGACAGCCACUCUGAGUGCUUUCGGCAGCUGCGGCUGGCUCGCCCACUUCCUCGCCUUAGGCCUUUAUUUUCACAUUUACUCAUCUGCCCAAACCACUAGCCUCAGGGGGUGACGCUCCUGCUCCUCUUCACACGGAGCCGCCUGCUUUACCCCCUCACUUUUUCACUCGGGGGAAGAGCCCAACACAUUCACAGGGCCGUGUUUAUUAGCAACGUGAUUUCCAGGCCUUAAUAUCAGGAACCGCGUGCCAUUUUUCUCUCUCUUGUUCUGUGUGGUGCCUUCAUGGGGUAAGAAUUAGGAGUCAGCCAGACAUUCUCCACCAAGUGGCUGGUGGGAAGAUGGAUUCAGGGGUCUUCUUGGGGCCAAAUUGCCUACUUUUCAGGCAUGAUGGGGAAUAUGGAUUGACAAAGUUACUGUUGGAGAGGAAGGAGGAGGUAUCGGAACCUCAGUGGUAUUUAACAAAUAUUUAUUGUGUCACUACACAUGCUGGGUUCAGGGACUCUGCCAUGAACACACCAGACAGGGCUCCUGUCCUCAGGGAGCUUACAUUCCAGUGAGGAGAAGUGCAGUAAAUAAGAAAACAAAGAAAGAAGCGAGAUACUACAGAGGGUGAUGAGACCCCUGAAGGAAGCAGUUAAAGAGACACACUGGAGAGUACUUGGUGGGCGGGCGGGGGUCUGCCUUACAUACGGUGGCCGGGGAAGGCCAUCCGAGAGCUUCCCUUUGACCUGGGCCUGCAUGAGGAGGAAGAGCGGCCUGAGCGGAGCAGAGAGGAGAGCGUUCUCGGCAGAGAGAACAGAAAACCCAAGGGCUCCAACAUGGCACGGCGCUUGGAUGUUCCAGGAGUCUCCCAGAAUCUGGCCAUGCGGGCGGAGCAUCAUGAAUAAGGGCUGGACGUGGACCCGAGGGCGGGAGCUGCGCUGGAGAUAGAAGCCAGCUGAUGAAGACGGCAGAGCAGUGGGUAGACAGAGACUGAUGAGCUGGGGCUGCCUUCCUGGCCAAGGUCAGCUACCUGGAUGUUUCUAUGACUGAGCAAUAAACGUCCAUCCU
RNAcentral lists this long non-coding RNA (1453 nucleotides) under Equus caballus (horse). RNAcentral describes it as "lncRNA (ENSECAG00000045282.1)". The record is from RNAcentral. Lineage: Eukaryota; Metazoa; Chordata; Mammalia; Perissodactyla; Equidae.